RNAcentral lists this ribosomal RNA (468 nucleotides) under uncultured bacterium. RNAcentral describes it as "partial 16S ribosomal RNA". It matches the Rfam family "Bacterial small subunit ribosomal RNA", at positions 28 to 507 of the family's 1533-position model. The record is from RNAcentral.
GACGAACGCUGGCGGCGUGCUUAACACAUGCAAGUCGAACGGAAAGGCCCUGCUUUUGUUGGGUGCUCGAGUGGCGAACGGGUGAGUAACACGUGAGUAACCUGCCCUUGACUUUGGGAUAACUUCAGGAAACUGGGGCUAAUACCGGAUAGGAGCUCCUGCUGCAUGGUGGGGGUUGGAAAGUUUCGGCUGUUGGGGAUGGACUCGCGGCUUAUCAGCUGGUUUGUGGGGUAGUGGCUUACCAAGGCUUUGACGGGUAGCCGGCCUGAGAGGGUGACCGGCCACAUGGGGACUGAGAUACGGACCAGACGCCUACGGGAGGCAGCAGUGGGGAAUAUUGCACAAUGGGCGGAAGCCUGAUGCAGCAACGCCGCGUGCGGGAUGACGGCCUUCGGGUUGUAAACCGCUUUCGCCGGUGACGAAGCGUGAGUGACGGUAAUGGGUAAAGAAGCACCGGCUAACUACGUG